AUAAUGUAGUGGACGGGACGCUUCUUCAACAACAUCUCGUCAGCCACCUCGGUAGCUUCCUAGCGGAAACGUUCAAGCUGUUCAGACUGCUUCGGUCUAUAUUUACUUCUGUAUUUGGAACAUAAUUCUGUCUUUUAACUAGUUUCCCCAUUUCAUGUCAUAUUUCCGUUUCGUCAGGUAACGGUAGCUGGCUUGAUAAAUGAGCCUAUCACUAGUCUAGUCGCUAACUAGCUAGGUUAGCUGGCUAACAUCCCCGACCAUGAGCUCAGCAAGCUGCUGCCCUCCUGCUAAAAAAGAGGUCUGCUGGAAGGAGAAAGAAGGUAUUUGGCUGAACGUUGUCGUGAAAGAGGAGAAUGAAGAGGAGGAUGUCACAGUGAACGAAGAAGUCGAGGGUGAGGCUGUUACACAGAAAGAAGAGGAAGAAAACGAUUAGACUUUUUUUGGAGUGAAUGAAGGAGAGAUAACUGUCAUAUUGAAGGAGGAGGAGAGGGAAGAAGAGAAGGAGACAGAAGAUCUGAGUAACACCAGAGAGAGACCAGACUCUCCUUCUGACAGCGGGAAGAGUCCUUCAGGGAAACCAGACCCCGAGACGUCCAAACCAGCAGGACGACAUCACUGCUCCCAGUGUGGGAAGAGUUUUACUCAGUUAGGGAGCUUGAGAACACAUAAGAGAAUACACACUGGAGAGAAGCCUUACCACUGUUCCCAAUGUGGAAUGUCGUUUACCCAGUUAGGGAGCCUGCAAACGCAUGAGAGGGGACACACAGGGGAAAAGCUUUUCCAAUGUUCCCAUUGUGGAAAGAGUUUUGGCCAGGUAGGAAACCUGAACAAGCAUGAGAGGACACACACAGGUAAGAAGAUGUACCGCUGCUCCCAGUGUGGAGAGAGAUUUACCCGGUUAAGGUACCUGAAAGAGCAUGAAAGAAUACAUACAAAUACACAGGAGGAGAAGACAUACCACUGCUGGGGAUCCAUAAUAAACCCCAGGAAGAGUAGCUGCUGCCUUGUCAGGAACUAAUGGGGAUCCAUAUUAAACCCCAGGAAGAGUAACUGCUGCCUUGGCAGGAACUAAUGGGUUUCCAUAUUAAACCCCAGGAAGAGUAGCUGCUGCCUUGGCAGGAACUAAUGGGGAUCCGUAAUAAAUACAAAUACUUUUAUCAAUAUAUUUGUCUCUCUCUACUCUCGGAUUCAAAUAUGCUAAUUAGCAUCAAAGUAGACAACAUGCAAGACUACAAAUCCCUGCAAGCUCCUGCAAGUCAUCUCGAGCCAACACAUUUCACAGAAUUGUCCAAGAAAUCUGGAGCUUUGUCAGAGUGAACAUCGGGUUCUUGUUUACCUCCUUGAUCAAGGCCCUUCUCCCCCGAUUUCUCAGUUUGGCCGGGCAGCCUGCUCUAGAAAGAGUAUUGGUGGUUCCAAACUUCUUCCAUUUAAGAAUGAUGGUGGCCAUUGUGUUCAUGGGGACCGUUUGCUACAGACAUUUUUGGUACCUUUCCACAGAUCUGUGCCUCGACACAAUCCUGUCUCAGAACUGUACCGACAAUUCCUUUGACCUCAUGGCUUGGUUUUUGCUCUGACAUGCACUGUAAACUGUGGGACCUUAUAUAGACAGGUGUGUGCCUUUCCAAACCAUGUCUAAUUUAUUGAAUUUACCACAGGUGGACUCCAAUCAAGUUGUAGAAACAUCUCAAGGAUGAUCAAUGGAAGAAGGAUGUCUGAGCUCAUUUUCGAGUCUCAUAGCAAAGGGUCUGAAUACUUAAGUAAAUACAUUUGCAAAAAAUUCAAAUCUGUUUUUGGUUUGUUAUUAUGGGGUUUUGUGUGUAGAUUGAUGAGGGGAAAAACAUAUUCAAUUUUAUAAUGAGGCUGUAACGUAACUAAAUGUGGAAUAAGUGAAGGGGUCUGAAUACUUAAUGAAUACACUGUAUACCACUGGAAGAGGUUUCUAUCAUUGGCAGUUUUGUACACAGUCAGGUGAUACGUGGUAUAGAAAGUCCAAUCUUAGGAGAGAACAUGGGAGGCACUAUACUGUAUGUCUGCAGGUGUCUAUCUGGUCAAAACCACUGAUACAGGUGCCCCUCCACCCUCUGGUGGGAUGGAUCAUAAUUAUGAUAAUCAACUGAAAUAAAUUAAAAAUAAACUUUUGGUUCCUCAACUGCGUUUGCCACUCCAGUCAGCAGAUGGCGAUGUGCGUCUUUUAGGUUCAGGCGAUGCUGCCAGUGUGACGUAUAAUCUAGUGGACGGGACGCUGCUUCAAAAACAACAGUUUGACACCUCGGUAGCUUAAUAGCAAACACAGCUACAACAUUCACUUUCUUUACACUGUUUUGGUGUAUAUUAGUCGCUGUGUAUUAAACACACUUCUGUCGUAUGUACGUGUUGGCCCAUUUAAUUAUAUAAUUACGUUGUUUGUCAGCUAGCUGGUUUGCUAAAUUAGCUUAGAACUAGGCCAGUUGCUAAUGCUAGCUAACGAACAUCCCCGACCAUGAGUUCACUAAGCUGCUCUCCUCCUGCUAAAGAAGAGGAGGUCUUCUGGACGGAGAAAGAAGUUCUCCCGAAAGAGGAGGAGGAAGAGAAGGAUGUUUCAAUACAAAAACAAGUAGAGGGUGAAGCUGUUACCGUGAAAGAAGAAGAGAAAGACGUUUCAGUGGAAGAAAAGGAAGACUCGUUCAGAUUGAAAGAGGAGGAGGCGGAGAUGACUGUCACAUCGGUAAAGGAGGAGGAGGAAGAAGAGGACACUGGACAUCUGGGCCCGGUUUCCCAAACGCAUCUUAAGGCAUCCUAUGGUUCUAAAGGGUGAACUCAGCCGUAAGAUGGUUUUGAGAAACUGGGCCGUGAUUAACACUAGAGAGAGACGUGACUAUCGUGGAUCCUCUGGGGAGCCUCAACAACAUCAUGAAGCUGACGAGGCAGAGAAGAGUCCCUCCCGAUCAGAACACCUCAAGAAACACCCGUGGAGACCAACAGGGAAGAAAUCUCACUGCUGCUCUAACUGUGGGAAGAGUUACUUAAGAUCAAAUUCACUAAAAGUACAAAUGAGAAUUCACACCGGAGAGAAAUCUUAUAGCUGUGGUCAAUGUGGGAAGAGUUUUACUACAUCUAGCCAUAGGAUUGCACACCAGAGAACACACACAGGAGGGAAACCUUGUAGCUGUGAUCAAUGUGGGAAGAGUUUUACUCAGUCAAGCAGCCUGUUAUCUCACCAGAGAAAACACACAGGAGAGAAACCUUACAGCUGUUAUCAAUGUGGGAAGAGUUUUACUCAGUCAAGCAACCUUGUAUCACACCAGAGAUCACACACAGGAGAGAAUCCUUAUAGUUGUGAACAAUGUGGGAAGAAUUUUACUACAUCCAGCCAUCUGAUUGUACACCAGAGAACACACACACAGGAGAGAAAUCUUAUAGUUGUGAACAAUGUGGGAAGAAUUUUACUUCAUCCAGCCAUCUGAUUGUACACCAGAGAACACACACACAGGAGAGAAAUCUUAUAGCUGUGAACAAUGUGGGAAGAGAUACUCUGAUAAAUGAUCUCUGAUCAAACAUCAGAAAAUACAUACAUGAAGUAGUUGUUUCAUGAUAUCAAUGAAUUAAUGUCACAAUGUAGAAUGUUUAAACAUUGUAGUAGCAGUAUUUUAAUGAUGUCACAAUGUAGAAUGUUUUAAUAUUGUAGUGGGAGUAUUUUAAUGAUGUCACAAUGUAGAAUCUUUUAACAUUGUAGUAGGAGUAUUUUAAUGUCACAAUGUAGAAUGUUUAAACAUUGUAGUAGGAGUAUUUUAAUGAUGUCACAAUGUAGAAUGUUUUAACAUUGUAGUAGGAGUAUUUUAAUGUCACAAUGUAGAAUGUUUAAACAUUGUAGUAGGAGUAUUUUAAUGAUGUCACAAUGUAGAAUGUUUUAACAUUGUAGUAGGAGUAUUUUAAUGUCACAAUGUAGAAUGUUUAAACAUUGUAGUAGGAGUAUUUUAAUGAUGUCACAAUGUAGAAUGUUUUAACAUUGUAGUAGGAGUAUUUUAAUGUCACAAU
Molecule: long non-coding RNA, 4014 nt
Organism: Oncorhynchus masou masou (cherry salmon)
Lineage: Eukaryota; Metazoa; Chordata; Actinopteri; Salmoniformes; Salmonidae
Exons: 3
Source: RefSeq, a predicted model, not a curated record